Molecule: ribosomal RNA, 466 nt
Filed under: uncultured bacterium
Lineage: Bacteria
Description: partial 16S ribosomal RNA
Rfam family: Bacterial small subunit ribosomal RNA
Source: RNAcentral
ACGAACGCUGGCGGCGUGCUUAACACCUGCAAGUCGAACGGAAAGGCCCUGCUUUUGUGGGGUGCUCGAGUGGCGAACGGGUGAGUAACACGUGAGUAACCUGCCCUUGACUUUGGGAUAACUUCAGGAAACUGGGGCUAAUACCGGAUAGGAGCUCCUGCUGCAUGGUGGGGGUUGGAAAGUUUCGGCGGUUGGGGAUGGACUCGCGGCUUAUCAGCUUGUUGGUGGGGUAGUGGCUUACCAAGGCUUUGACGGGUAGCCGGCCUGAGAGGGUGACCGGCCACAUUGGGACUGAGAUACGGCCCAGACUCCUACGGGAGGCAGCAGUGGGGAAUAUUGCACAAUGGGCGGAAGCCUGAUGCAGCAACGCCGCGUGCGGGAUGACGGCCUUCGGGUUGUAAACCGCUUUCGCCUGUGACGAAGCGUGAAUGACGGUAAUGGGUAAAGAAGCACCGGCUAACUACGU